This 777-nucleotide ribosomal RNA is filed under the name uncultured Bacillota bacterium. Its description in RNAcentral is "bacterial SSU rRNA". It matches the Rfam family "Bacterial small subunit ribosomal RNA", at positions 564 to 1342 of the family's 1533-position model. The record is from RNAcentral. Lineage: Bacteria; Bacillati; Bacillota.
AGGGAGCGUAGGCGGAUUUUAAGUGAGAUGUGAAAUACUCGGGCUUAACCUGAGUGCUGCAUUUCAAACUGGAAGUCUAGAGUGCAGGAGAGGAGAAGGGAAUUCCUAGUGUAGCGGUGAAAUGCGUAGAUAUUAGGAGGAACACCAGUGGCGAAGGCGGCUUACUGGACGAUCACUGACGCUGAGGCUCGAAGGCGUGGGGAGCGAACAGGAUUAGAUACCCUGGUAGUCCAUGCCGUAAACGAUGAGUGCUAAGUGUUGGGAGGUUUCCGCCUCUCAGUGCUGCAGCUAACGCAUUAAGCACUCCGCCUGGGGAGUACGACCGCAAGGUUGAAACUCAAAGGAAUUGACGGGGGCCCGCACAAGCGGUGGAGCAUGUGGUUUAAUUCGAAGCAACGCGAAGAACCUUACCAGGUCUUGACAUCUAGUGCAAUCUGUAGAGAUACGGAGUUCCCUUCGGGGACGCUAAGACAGGUGGUGCAUGGCUGUCGUCAGCUCGUGUCGUGAGAUGUUGGGUUAAGUCCCGCAACGAGCGCAACCCUUGUUAUUAGUUGCCAGCAUUAAGUUGGGCACUCUAAUGAGACUGCCGGUGACAAACCGGAGGAAGGUGGGGAUGACGUCAAGUCAUCAUGCCCCUUAUGACCUGGGCUACACACGUGCUACAAUGGGCAGUACAACGAGAAGCAAGCCUGCGAAGGCAAGCGAAUCUCUGAAAGCUGUUCUCAGUUCGGACUGCAGUCUGCAACUCGACUGCACGAAGCUGGAAUCGCUAGUAAU